This 253-nucleotide ribosomal RNA is filed under the name uncultured bacterium. RNAcentral describes it as "partial 16S ribosomal RNA". It matches the Rfam family "Bacterial small subunit ribosomal RNA", at positions 524 to 776 of the family's 1533-position model. The record is from RNAcentral.
UACGGGGGGGGCAAGCGUUGUUCGGAAUUACUGGGCGUAAAGGGCUCGUAGGUGGCCAACUAAGUCAGACGUGAAAUCCCCAGGCUCAACUUGGGAACUGCGUCUGAUACUGGAUGGCUUGAAUCCGGGAGAGGGAUGCGGAAUUCCAGGUGUAGCGGUGAAAUGCGUAGAUAUCUGGAGGAACACCGGUGGCGAAGGCGGCAUCCUGGACCGGUAUUGACGCUGAGGCGCGAAAGCCAGGGGAGCAAACGGG